RNAcentral lists this small nuclear RNA (104 nucleotides) under Ipomoea nil (Japanese morning glory). The record is from RNAcentral. Lineage: Eukaryota; Viridiplantae; Streptophyta; Magnoliopsida; Solanales; Convolvulaceae.
GUCUUUUCAGAGACAUCCAAUAAAAUUGGAACGAUACAGAGAAGAUUAGCAUGGCCCUUUGCGCAAGGAUGACACGCACAAAUUGAGAAAUGGUUCAAAUUUUU